GGGCUUUAAGUAAUUUUGUCGGGCCUUUUUGUAAGAUAUGUGUUGGACCAAUUUUCUUUGCCUAGCCCACUAAUCAAACCCAUUAACCACUAGCCCAAUCCUAUAACCCAAAACAGCCCAAAACCAAAACAAAAUUAACCUCAAUAUCCCAAUCCCCACAUCGUACGUGCCUCCACCAUCCACCGUACCUCCAAGACGUGCGCUACUAGCAGUCCUUCUUUGUCACGCCUCGUGCUUCCGAGAUAUCCGCAACAACACCUGUAACAGGAAGCAAACAGAUAGCAACCAAUAGAAGAUUUUAUUUUUUUUCUAGGUUAUAAAAGCCAUUCUAAACAAUGUAAAUGGGUCGAUUUUUGUUUACUACAAAAAAUCAGGGAGAAAUAUACGAAAACAGCAAGUUUUGAGUAAAAGCUUCCAUACAUUCGAAUAGAAUAAGGUGGUUACAAUAUUUUCUUUUAGUUUUUUUUUAUCUUAAGAGCUUUUUGUGGAUCUAUCUUGUAUUUUUGAAAAACAGUUAAAAAAAUAAAAAGAUUUUAGGAGGGCCUUACCUGGACUCCCGUGCGUGCUGUUGGCCACCAAAUCCAGUGGUGGAGCGGCAGCGGUUGAAGGUUGCGAUGAUGGGCGUGGUUCAUGGCCCUAGCAGAAGAAAAAGGGUGAAAGUCCCUUUGUUUUCCUUUCAAUUUUAGCGAAUAGAAAUGGGGGGGUUUCUUUAAUUUUAGUUUUAAAAUGGCAGACAGCCAUCAUUUAUUCCGCCUUUAAUUCUAAGGGGAACAGCUCCAUUUCAUUUUUUGGUUUUAUUGCGCAUUAGGUCCUCCCCUGUUGUGUGAUCACUUGAUUGGGCCCUUUUGAGCUUUUUUCCUUCUUUUUUUAAAAAAUUGGCCCCGAAUAUUUGCGCGCCGAUUCAAUUUGGUACAAGCUGAAACGCUGUGUUUAGGAGGCUUGAGAUAUUUUCCUUUUUACUCCCCAAUCAUUGACGCGCGUCAUAUUUCGGUCCCUAACCUUUUUUUUAUUCUGAUCUUGGCCCAAAAACUCCCAUUUUAAUUUCAAUUAAGCCUCAUUUUGAUUAUUUAAACACUUUUAGCAAAAAAUUAAUUAUUUUUUUUGUUUGUAAUAUUAUUCUUCUAUUUUAUUUCAUUAUAUCCUAUUAUUUUUUUAGUUUUUUAUCCUACCAUUUAUUUUAUUAUUUUUAUUAUACUAUUAUCCAUUAUAUCUAUUAUAUUACUUGUAUAUUGUUUUGGUUCCCCUAAUAAUUUUUUUUACACUUUAUUUUAAACUAUUAUAUUAUUACUAUUAAUCCUUUUUUAAAAGUUAAUUAUUUUGAUCUUUUAUAUCCAUUAGGUAUAUUAUUUAUGUUUACUAAUAAUUAUUGCUUCUGUACUAUUUAUUUUAAAGUGUCACAUUGUUAUUAUUAUUUUUCUUCUAUACAUUUUUUAUUAAUUAUUUUAAAUACAGUUUUUCCAUAUUUUUUUUAUUUUUUUUUCACUACUAUCAUUUUACUAUGUAUACAUCAUCAUUCGACAUAUUAUUUUCACUUCUAUUAUGCAUUUUUCGUAUCGUUAAUAUCUUUAUUGCUAUGUUUGUUAUGUUAUUACAUUUAUUACUAUUGUUAUAAUUAUUGUUGAUUUUCCUUAUAUUUACUAUAUCCUCGGUAUUAAUAUAUACACUGUCAAGUUUAUUGUUUGGCUAUUUUGCAUGUUAUCAUUUUUUUGUUAAGUUUCAACCGCCCCAAAUUCAUUUUUAUUCGAAGAUUAUAGGCAAUAUUUGAUAUUUAGGUUCCUCGGAAGGAUUGUGCCCUAACUUACUGGGUUCCAAUUUUCCUUGUUAAACCUAAAUAAUUGAGUACCCUUCUUAAAUCUAAUUGUAUGAGGUUCAAAUGAAAACCUAUUAUUGAAAUUCGGGACGUUGCACCCUAACUUACUAGGUAUGGCAUCGCGUUAUAUUGAGGAUAGUGAUUUCCAAAAUCAAGGCAGCCUUCGGUAUUUGGGGAGUUCUGAGAGAUUAAACUCUAACUUACUGAGUUCUAAUUUUUCAUGAGUCCCGGAGGACCGAAUAUCCUUCUCUUGAAUCUUCAUACAUGAAUUUUAAAAAUCAAAAACCAGCUUAGUCCCGAAGGUCUGAAAUGUUAAACCUUAACUUAUUAGAUAUGGCAUUUUCCCCCUUCGAGAUGAGUAGGUCUUUACAUUUUAUUCAAUUUAUUCCCUUUUUUUAAUAAAAGGAUCGUACUCUAAAGUCUUUUCAAAUUUUGACACCAAGACAUUAACUAAUCAAAUAGGUACCAAUUUUUGGGCGUUACGAGGGUGCUAAUCUUUCCUCGUACGUAGCUGACUCCCGAGCCCAUUUUCUCAAACUUAGCAGACCAAAAAGAGUUAUUGUUUUAAUAGGCCCAAAUGUUUUAUUAAAACAAUUGAUUUUAAGGUGGCCCAAUCUCACCUUGGAAAAGAUUGGUGGCGACUCCAUUUACAUUUUUAAAGUCGAUCCACAUUUUUCAAAACUUAAAAAUGGUUUCGACAGCUUGGCGACUCCACUGGGGACCAACAAGAGAGUCAAGCCGCGAUUUGAUUACUUUUUGUCUUUUGUCGAAACUUGAAGUUGGUUUUGAGUCUACGAUCCUCUUAUUGCAUUUCAUCUGUUUGGUGUUAUAUUUUUUUUUGGCAUUUUUUUCCCAAAGUUCUUUCAUAUCUUCUGUCAUUGCAUUGCAUGACCAUUGUAGUCACACCUCUUAAGUGGGAGUGAGAAGCUAUUUCCUUCGUGAGGUUUUCACCUCUGUGCAGGUUAGUGGAUUGCUUUCGGGAUAAAUCCGUACCUAUGUCUUCGUGAGGUUUUCACCUCCGUGCAGCCAUAGGGAAAUGUAUCCCCCUGAACUGAACUCGGUCUAUAUGAGCCUAUAAUGGGUGAGGAUCGAGGAAUUUGCUAGUUCAGGUACCUCAACUCUAGAACCAAACCACAUAUAGAGGAACCCUAAGGGCCCACAUUUGGAAGAACUAUGCUAAACCCUAGUGAUUACCCUUAAUAGGUGCUUUUUUUUAUUUUCUUCACUUUGAGUUAUGUUUCUGAUAUAUGAUACUAACUUGCUGUGUUUUGUUUGCCAUAUUUGCAUGUCAUUCCACAUUUGAAAGGUGUCAAUUCGUGUUCAAUUUUCUGAAUUAGAAAGCUCGUCAUGGGGGACAAAUUCCUUGAUAAGGUAGAAAAUAAUGCAGCUGUCCGUAAAUGGUCAGAGAUAACACAAUUAGAGAAGGGAGACAGCCUAGCCAAGGGAUACAAAUCUGAGUUAUGGGAUUAUACUCACAUUAGCGUGACUCAAAAUAAUCAUCGGGAAUUGAAGGAGAUAUGGGAUCAGUGGGAUGAUGAGGUUAAACAAUUAUUCUACUGCAACUAUAAAGAUCUACCGUACCUACUUGGUAUCGAAAUAGACGAACACUUAUUCCGGGACCUUGCUCAGUAUUAGAACCCUGCAUAUAGUUGCUUCACAUUUGGGAGGGUGGAUUUAGUACCCAUGGUGGAGGAGUAUAUAGCUUUAUUAAAUUGUCCGAAGGUACAAGUCGAUAAGGCCUAUUCGAGAGCUGCUUAUGUUUCGGUAUUUUCGAAAAAGUUAAUGAAUAUUACUGGAAUGAGCGAACAGUGGGUUACGGCAAGGAUCAAGCAGAAAGGGGAGUGUAAGUGUAUCCCAUGGAAGAAUUUGUGAGAUUUGAUCCUAACAUAUCCUGAUAUGAAGAAGAAAGUUGACGUCUUUGCCUUGAGUAUUUACGGGUUGAUGCUCUUCCCUAGGGCAUUGGGAUAUGUUGAUGAGGCGGUCAUGGAUCUAUUCGACCGACUAGACAAGGGAGUCACACCAGUUCCUGCAAUUUUAGCUGAGACAUUCAGGUCCUUGAACUUGUGUAGAAGGACCGGCGAUGACAGAUUUAUAGGGUGUGCACAGUUAUUGUUAGUAUGGUUUCACAGUCAUUUUUGGAAGAUAGACAAAGGUCAUUAUAAAGCUUUCUUUGGGAAUUAUUCCCCAUUAAAGGAGAUAGUAGCUACACCCAGAAGAGAUGACAUAUCGGAAGAAAACUGGAUCGCGCUCCUGCGGAAUCUUCAGGGAGAGGACAUUGAGUGGAAAGCACCUUGGUGGAUGCCUAACAAAAUUCUUUUUUGAUGUGGGAGUUUUGAUUGGGUCCCUUUGCUUGAAAUCUGAGGAACCAUUGGAUAUGCUCCCUUGCUCGUGCUUAGGCAAUAUGCAGUAAGACAGUUCAUACCAGUAACCCAUGGGCUUGCUCAAUGCGAAUUUUCAUAUAAGGGAGACUACAAGAAAAGGGUUAAAGAGAUUUUUAAUGCUUGGAAUCAGACUCGUCGAAUGGAAGGGUUGGCUGCAGAUCCGAUGACGACCCCUGAGUAUGAUGGAUGAUUGAGUAGACGAGUUAACGACAAUAUCCCUGGGUCAAGUUUAGAGGAUGCUCAACCGAUAGAGGAGUAUUUGCGAGAAAUUCCCUCUGAAUUAGAAAUUAUAAAAAAGGAUUUUGAGAAGAGAAGUUUAGAGUUGGGGAAAAAGAUAGAGCAACUCGAAGAGGAGAAGGUAUAUCUAAAAUUAGACAUUGACGUCCAGAAAUUAGACGCCGAGAAACUGAGAAAGGGGAAAAGGAAAGCUGAAGAAGACUUGGACAGUCUGAAGAAUGAUUACAAGGAAUUGCAUAUGUCGAUGAGAACUGCCGGGUUAGGAAAAACAUCGAAGCAAUGGUAACAAGAAAUCCAAGAAGAAAAGUCUAAGGCCGAUCAAUAGAAGAGGAGGUUAUGUGAUGCUCGAGCACAAGAGGAAGCCCUUAAAAGAACUACAUCAGAGAGUCAAAGUGAAAAUGAGACGUUAAGAGCUCGAAUAACAGAGUUAGAAAAGACAUUGCAUUAGCAUCAUAGUCGUAACUCUGUAAUGGAAUUAAAAGCUAGCUUAAGUGAGAUCGAGAAUCUGAAGGGGAAGAUAGAAGAAGUUGGGGCUGCGCUACAGGAUUGUGAACACCGAAUUGAAUCACUAGAAGCAAAUAGUAAGCAAUUGGAGGAACAACUUCAUCGGCCUCAGAAUAAGGUUCGAGAUAAAGAUCACCUCAUGGGAGAAGCUAUAGUUCAGAUUCGAGAAGUGGCGGAACAUUUAAAAAUCCUGGCAGUCCAAGCUGAUGUAUUAAGUAUAAAAUAUGAGUCAAUAUCGAACCGAGGUUAAGAGCUGGCUGAACUUCUUUAAAAAGUUAGAGCUCUAGGCAUAAGGGCUAGGCCGUAUAUGUAGUCUAUUUUUUAUGUAAAAGAUUUUGUCUUUUAGUAAAGUUAUUCUAAAUAAAAUUGAAUCAGAUUGACACCUUUUUGCAUUCAUGUCAUGCAUUUGCAUUGUAUAGCAUCAUAAACAUUAAGUUGCACAAAAGAACCCUAUUAAUUAGUGAUAAUUUAUCUAGUUACCCUGGAACAUCGCUACUAUACACGGAGGAAAACAAGGGAUAUGGAUCAGAGGUUAGAGAAAUUAGAACAAAUGCAAAAGGAGAUGCAGGAGAAACUGCAAGCUCAGAUGCAAGAACAGCUGGCUAGGAUCCAGCAGUAGAUGAGGGAUCAAAUGCUGGAGUCCCAGAAAAACAUGCUGGAGUCACAGAACAACAUGAUGAGCCAGCUGACACAGCUGCUGAAGGGAGGGUCUGACAAAGGAAAAGGCCCUAUGGGGGUCAUGGGAAAUGAAAAUGAGGAUUCUGCUUGUCCUACAAGCUUUGCGCCAGUAAACAUGAAAACACAACCACCAAGGGUGUCUGUUAAUGUCCAACCUCUUUAUCAAACUGGUACCUCGGUACCAGUAAACUUCCCAACAGGAUCGAGCACCAACCCUGGAGAUAAUCUAGCAAACCCUCAGGUCCCUGACUUCGAUGACGCAGCAGAGGUGGAAAAGAUAAAGGCUGAAGUCCCAAAACGAUUUGAGGAUUGAUGCAAAUGGUUGGAGGAAAAGUUCAAGGAGUUAGAGAAUGCUGAUCAUUACAGCGGAAUCGAUGCAAAGGAACUGAGUUUGAUCCCGGACUUAGUACUUCCCCCAAAGUUUAAAAUGCCAGAAUUUCAAAGAUAUAACGGAACUAGCUGCCCUGAGGCUCACAUUACGAUGUUUUGUCAAAGGAUGACGGGGUAUGUCAACAAUGAUCAACUGUUGAUCCAUUGUUUUCAGGACAGUUUGAGUGGGGCUGCAGCGAAAUGGUACAAUCAGUUGAGCCGUGCUCAAGUCAAAUCAUGGAAGGAUUUGGCGCAGGCCUUCAUAAAACAGUAUGGCCAUAUGACUAAUAUAGCACCUGACAGGAUUACAUUACAGAACAUGGAGAAAAGGUUAGGUGAAAGCUUCAGGAAAUAAGCCUAGAGGUGGAGGGAAGUCGUUACGCAAGUCCAACCACCACUACUGGAAAAAAAAACGACUAUGCUUUUUAUUAAUACCUUGAAGGCACCUUUCAUUAAUCAUAUGUUGGGGAGCGCAACUAAGAGUUUCGCAGACAUAGUGAUGUCUGGCGAAAUGAUAGAAAAUGUAAUAAGGUGCGGGAAGAUAGAAACAGGAGAAAGCACGAGAAGGUCAGCCCCAAAGAAAAAGAAAAACGAGGUAAGCAACGUGAGUUCAGGCUAUUCAAAACCUGUCACCGUUAAUCAAUCGAGAACGAUAGUCAUAGGCCAGCAGGCCACACCAAGGCGAGAGCCUAACACAAGUCAGAAUACAAAGAGGUUCCAGUUCACUCCUAUACCAGUGACGUAUAAGGAGCUGUAAAAAAAGCUGUUCGAUGCACACGUAGUGGCCCCUUUCCACUUAUAACUGUUACAACCCCCAUACCCUAAAUGGUAUAAUGCAAAUGCUCAGUGCGAAUACCACGCAGGGAUUACGGGGUACUCGAUAGAAAACUGUACCUUGUUCAAAAGGUACGUAUAAAGGCUUAUCAAAGUAGGUGUUGUAAAAUUCGAUGAUACACCUAGUACGGGAAAUCUGUUGCCCAGUCACACUGAUAAAGGGGUAAACGCGAUAAUUGAGAAUGUGAGGAGGAAAGCCAAGCUGAAUAUUGCGGAUAUGAGAACCCCAUUGAAGCUAGUUUGAAAGGAAAUGCAAAAGAGAGGUUUAGUCCCGCAGGGGUUGGGGAAUAAAAUCCAAGAUACACGGAACUACUGUGAGUUCCAUUAUGAGAAAAAUCACGAAAUCCAGAAUUGUAUUGAGUUCAGGGCCCUAGUACAGGGUCUAAUGGAUAAUAAGGAAUUGGAGUUCCUCGAGUCUGUCGAAGAGGAGGAUGUAUGCUCUCUAGGAGGAGAGUCAAGUGAAGAAGGCUGCAAAGCCAGCCAUCCAGUGAUAAUUAUUUCGAAGCCCAGAGUUAGUGAAGUAGAAGCAAGAGUCACACCAAGAGUUGUAAUCCAGAAGCCAAUAGCUCCCCCUUAUAAAGAUAGUCGUAGGAUGCCUUGGAAUUAUAACUGUAGUAUAGCAGUUUCAGAGAAAGAGGGUUCGAUUGACACGCUAAACACAGAGGCCGAAUCAGCAAAAGAGAAACCCAUCAUGCUCAAGCAAGAAGUCGAGAGAUCAGAACCACUGGUUAAUGAGCCAGUACAAGAAAAUGAAGCCAAGGAGUUCUUGAAGUUCCUAAGACACAGCGAGUAUAGUGUUGUGGAACAACUACACCAAAAAUCGAAUCGCAUAUCGGUAUUGGCUCUGCUGUUAAAUUCAGAGGUCCACCGCAAUGCAUUGAUGAAAGUGUUGAACAAAACCUAUGUUGCGGAUGACAUUUCGGUUAACAAAUUGGAUCGUCUUGUCGGCAGCAUAAGUGCUGACAAUUUCAUCUUCUUCAGUGAUGAGAAGAUACCGCCAGGGGGUAGGGGGUCUACUAAGGCUCUGCAUAUUACUACACGUUGCAAGGGGUAUACGCUACUCGGAGUGCUAGUUGAUAAUGGGUCCGCAUUGAAUGUGUUGCCUUGGGCUACGUUAAACCGUUUACCUAUAGACAAUUCCCAUAUGAAGACGUGUCAGAACAUAGUAAGAGCAUUUGAUGGCACAGAAAGGAAAGUAAUUGGAAGGAUAGAAGUACCUCUUCAGAUUGGCCUAAAUGCGUACGAGGUAGAUUUCCUCGUGAUGGAUAUUAAGCCUUCCUAUAACUGUGUAUUAGGAAGACCUUGGAUUCACUCAGCCGGGGCAGUGCCAUCCUCGCUGCACCAGAAGCUAAAGAUGGUUACUGAGGGUCGGCUAAUAACAAUAAAUGCAGAUGAGGACAUUAUUGCGUCAGUUACCAGUGAUGCACCCUACGUAGAGAAUGACAACGAAGUGGUUGAAUGUUUAUUUAGAUCAUUAGAGUUUGUAAACGCAACAUUUAUAGCUGAAGAAAGCAGGAUUCCGAUACCUAAGAUAUCAAUGGCUACGAAAAUGAGCCUGCAGCUGACAGUUGGGAAAUGAGCAUUACCUGGCAGAGGACUCGGGAGGCACCUCCGUAGACAAAUUAGAGUGCCAAUCUUGGUUAGCAAGUGGGAUCGCUUCAGUUUGGGAUUCAGGCCAGUGAAGAAGGAGUUUGAAAGGAAACAAGAACAGCGGAGAGCGAGAUUGAGUGGGACAGAAGUCAGGUGGGAACCGAUGAGCUUCCUCCACAUUUCUCAAACAUUUGUAUCUGGAGGGUUUAUUCAUUCUAUACAUGAGAGGAUAAAAGAAGGAAUGGUCGAGGAUGUGAUGGGAAUUUGGAACAUCAACGCCACGUUUGAAGAGGAAGCAAUGGAAAUAAAUUUAUCAGGCAUUUGCCCGUAUGAGCCUGGGAGUGUUUUGGAUAACUGGACUGAGGAAGAAAUUCCUGUAAUCUUUAGAGCUAACACAGAGUAAUAUUCAAAACCCACUUGUUGUCUUCUAGCCUAGGGACAAUAAGAAUCUUUUGUGAAAUAGGCCCAUGUUCAAACAUUAUUAUUUUCAAUAAAAAAUGCAUUUUCAUAUAUCGGUUCGAGCAAUUAUUCUUUCUUCUUUUUCAUUUCAUACACAAUCAUACCAUACAAAGGAAUUAUUCAUUUCGUUUUCUUUGGGUAUUCUCUUAUACUCAUAAUAGGCCCUCAGAUGUCAACGUCAUGAGUAAUGCUGAUGUGAGCCCAGAAUCUCCUUUUGAGCGAGACAUGUGCUUUGAGGGAUUUCAAGAUUUUAAAGAGGACGAGGAUUGUGGUUUAUCUCCCGAUUUUUUAAGGAUGGUGGAGCGAGAAGAGGAACAGAUCCUGCCACACAAAGAGACUACUAAUAUUGUGGCCCUGGAAGAGGGGAAGGAAGUCAAAAUUGGCACUUGCGUUAACGAGAAAACAAGACAGAACCUCAUUGAACUGUUACAAGAAUUCAAGGACGUCUUUGCAUGGUCAUACUAGGAUAUGCCUGGUCUAAGUACCGAUGUCGCAGUGCAUCGUGUCCCUACAAAAAAUAAUUGCAAGCCAGUUCAGCAGAAGCUCCGAAGGAUGAGACCCCGAUGUAGCAAUGGAAAUAAAGGAAGAAGCCAAGAAACAGUUUAAUGCUAGAUUCCUACAGGUGGUCAAUUAUUCAGAAUGGGUGGCCAACGUUGUCCCUGUCCCUAAGAAAGAUGGGAAAGUGCAGAUGUGUGUAGAUUAAAGAGAUUUAAACAAGGCCAGCCCAAAGGAUAACUUUUCAUUGCCUCACAUAGGAUAACUUUUCAUUGCCUCACAUAGACACUCUAGUGGAUAAUACGGCAGGCUAUUCACUGUUCUCCAUCAUGGAUGGGUUCUCCGGGUACAAUCAGAUCAAGAUGCAUCAUGAGGACAGGGAAAAAAUCACAUUUAUAACUUUAUGGGGAAUGUUUUGCUACAAGGUGAUGCCCUUCAGGUUGAAAAAUGCAGGACCCACAUACCAAAAAGCCAUGGUAACCUUGUUCCAUGACAUGAUGCACAAGGAAAUUGAGGUCUACGUUGACGACAUGAUUGUAAAAUCCCAAACUGAAGAGGAGCAUGUGCGAGUGUUGAGGAAAUUAUUCCUGAGGUUGAGAAAAUUUCAAUUAAAGCUCAAUCCGUCAAAAUACACCUUCGGAGCUAGGUCCGGAAAGCUACUCGGCUUCGUAGUCAGUGAAAAGGGAAUAGAAGUCGACCCUGAUAAAGUCAAGGCUAUACAGGAGCUGCCUCCGCCACGAACUCAGAAAGAAGUUUGAGGUUUCCUAGGGAGACUAAACUAUAUCGCACGGUUUAUUUCACAACUGACUGAGAAGUGUGACCCCAUAUUUCGUAUUCUUAAAAAGCACAAUCCUGGGGUAUGGGAUGAUGAAUGCCAAGAAACCUUUGAAAAGGUUAAACAAUAUUUGUCCAGUCCUCCAGUGCUAACACUACCAAGCCCUGGUAGACCAUUGAUACUGUACUUAACAAUAUUUGAUAAUUCGAUGGGGUGUGUGCUCGGCCAACACGAUGAGACUGGGAGAAAAAAAGAGCGAUAUAUUAUCUCAGUAAAAAAUUCACUGAGUGUGAAAUGAGGUAUCCGCCAAUUGAGAAGCUCUGUUGUGCUUUGUUUUGGACAACACGAAGGUUGAGGCAAUACAUGUUGUACCAUACAACUUGGCUAAUCUCAAAGCUAAACGCUCUCAAAUACAUGAUGGAGUCAACAUUUUAAAUGGAAUGAUGGCCCGAUGACAGAUUCUACUCUCUGAAUUUGACAUAGUCUAUGUAAACCAAAAAGCUGUGAAGGGGAUUGCAAUAGCAGACUUCCUAGCCAGUAGAGCUUUGGAGGACUAUGAACCUUUGAAUUUCAGUUUCCCCAAUAAAGAUCUAGUGUAUGUAGCAAUCGCUGAAGGAGACAUGCCUGAAGAUCAUUCUUGGAAAUUAAAUUUUGACGGAGCAUCAAUUGCCGUUGGAAAUGGAGUUAGGGCAAUACUGAUAUCCCCAAAUGGAUAUCAUUAUUCAUUCACUUGCAAGCUGGAUUUUGACUGCACAAAUAAUAUGGCAGAAUACGAGGCAUGUAUCAUGGGAAUUGAAGCAGCUAUAGAAGGCGAAAUCAAAGUACUAGAAGUUUAUGGAGAUUCUGCAUUGGUAAUUUAUCAACUUAUAAGCGAGUGGGAAACAAGAAAUCCCAAAUUGAUCAGUUACCGAAAGCUAAUCCUGGAGUUAAUUGAAGAGUUUGAUGACAUUACCUUUCAUUACCUCCCCAAGACGAGAAUCAGAUCGCUGACGCCUUGGCUACACUAGCUUCCUUGAUCAAAGUAAAUAGACAGGAGGAUAUGAAGCCAAUUCAAAUGAGUAUCUGUGAGGCUUCAGCUCACUACUGUAAUAUCGAUGAAGAGGAAGAGAGAGAUGAUCAUCCUUGGUAUCAUGAUAUCUUACAAUAUGUGAAGAGCCGUACGUACCCAGAUCAAGCAACCGAAAAUGAUAAAAGAACAUUGAGGAGGUUAGCCAGUGACUAUGUCCUAGACGGUAAGGUCCUAUAUAAGAGGAGAAAAGAUCAGGAGUUGCUAAGAUGUGUUGACGCUGUUGAGGCAAAGAAAAUUCUAGAGGAAGUCCAUGAUGGUGUCUGUGGGACACAUGCCAAUGGUUUCACAAUGGCUCGACAGAUCAUGAGAUUCGGAUAUUACUGGUCUACAAUGGAAGGAGAUUGUAUCAAUUACGCUAAGAAGUGCCAUAAGUGUCAAAUUUAUGGAGACAAGAUCUAUGUGCCUCCUUCACCCCUCCAUUUUAUGACUUCCCCAUGGCCAUUCUCAAUGUGGGGCAUGGACAUCAUUGGGCCGAUUUCGCCAAAGGCUUCCAAUGGACAUCGAUUCAUUUUUGUGGUCAUUGACUACUUUACCAAAUGGGUAGAGGCUACUUCGUACGCCAAUGUCACAAAGUCGGCGGUCAGCAAGUUCUUGAAGAAAGAGAUCGUAUGCCGUUAUGAUAUGCCAGAAAGAAUCGUAUCUGACAACGCGUUGAAUCUGAACAAUAGCGUAAUAACAGAAGUCUACAGCCGGUUCAACAUUAAACAUCACAACUCGUCACCAUACCGCCCGAAAAUGAAUGGGGCGGUUGAGGCAGCUAAUAAGAACAUCAAGAAGAUUGUGGGGAAGAUGGCAGAGACCUACAAAGAUUGGCAUAAAAAGCUCCCAUUUGCCCUUUAUGCUUAUCGGACAUCUGUCAGAACUUCUACUGGGGUAACACCUUUCUCAUUAGUUUAUGGGAUGGAGGCAGUUUUACCUAUUGAGGUCAAAAUCCCUUCUCUUCGAGUUUUAUCAGAGCUGAAGUUGGACGAAGCAGAAUGGAUCCAAUCUCGUUACAAUCAACUAAACUUGAUUGAAGAGAGGAGGCUGAAUGCUAUUUGUCAUGGUCAAAUGUACCAGAGGAGAAUGAUGCGAGCCUACAACAAAAAAGUUCGCCCUAAGGUAUUCCAUAAGAGGGACUGAGUAUUGAAAAAGAUUCUCCUUAUGCAGAAAGAUUUCAGGGGGAAAUGGAUGCCAAAUUGGGAAGGACCCUAUGUGGUAAAAAAAGCUUUCUCUGGAGGGGCAUUGAUACUAGCAGAGAUGGAUGGCAAGAGCUUGCCUAACCCGAUAAAUUUAGAUUCUGUCAAAAGAUAUUUUGCUUGAAGCAGUUGAGGUGAAAACCCGUAAAGGGCGCAAAAAAAAAGGGAGAGGCCAAGGUGAAAACCUGUAAAAGGGCGCCUUAAGACCAAAGGGGUUUUUGAAUUGAAAACCCACAAAGGGCAAUUCAAAUUUCAAUCCAAACUGGGGCAAGCGGCAGUCUCACUACACUUGAAUCGACAAAGAAGAGAUAAGCUACAUCUUGGGGCAUCAACAAAAUGCUAUAGAUCCCUUAAGAGUGUGCCAAGUUUAAAAGGGUCCUCAAGGAGUUCGUACAGGAAAGCUCAAACUGUGAAAUCUGGGGCACCUAUUCUGUUCCUUUCAUCCGUUUUUAUAUCUCAAACAAUGUCUACUUUCUUUGUUGAUACAUCUUUCGCAAAUUUUGACUCGAAUAAAUUUCAGUUCUACCUAUCAUUAUAAUCUUUUUCGAGUAUUUUUAUUGAAAUAAUGAUUAAUGAACUAAUAAUGCUCUCAAAAGAAGGUUUUGCAUAUUACUUUGAAAGGUUUCUAAACAAUACGAGAACCUAAAACAGGACAAUUAUUUAGAACUCACCGAGCUUAAAAGGGCUAGAAACGUGUGAGAAAUAAUUGAUUAACCGCAUCUUCAAGUCCUCUUUUACCGAGCUGAACAAAAAGGCAUAUGUCAGGGAUGUUACCUUAGUAAAUAACAAGCGAUGACAGCCCAAAAGUUAAAAUGGAUCAUUCUCAUGACAUUGUGCAUUUUGUGCAUUUAACAUCCAUCAUACAUGUAGUUAGGAGCAUUUGAUUCAUAUUAAUCAUGGCAACCUAAUCAUCUAGCAUAAGCAUAUCACUCUUCUACAGAUGGAUUCCCAGUGGACAAGGUAGCAAGAUUACAGAUAUCAUCAGCCUUAUCUUCACUGGGCAGGAGUGGAGCAGGCUAAAUAUCAGAUCUUAUCUUCAUUGAGCAGGAGUGAAGCAGAUCAAAUUUUGGAGAAUCUUAUCUCCACGUACCGGCGAUGGAGCAGAUUCCAAUCAUCAGCUUUAUCUUCACUGAGCAGGAGUAGAGCAGGCUAAAUAUACCAGGUCUUAUCUUCACUGAACAGGAGCGGAGAAGAUCAAAUUUUGGUGAAUCUUAUCUCCAUGGAUCGACAAUGGAGCAGAUUUCAGCCACCAGUCUUAUCUUCACUGAGCAGGAGUGAAGCAGAUCAAAUUAUAGCAAAUCUUAUCUUCGUUGAGCAGGAGCGAAGCAGAUCAGAUUUCAGCAGAUCCCACCCCACUGAACAGGAAUGGAAUGGAUCAAGUCUCAAUAAAUCGUAUAUCUACAAAGUAGCAAUGAAGCAUCUGGAAGUAAUAGGAUGCAGGGGGUUAAAACGAGGCUACUUGAAGAAAAGAGGCAAUCAAGAAAUCAAGACAUGAUGGGGCCAGGCAAAAUUGGCCCUUCUAAGUCUUUGCUCUAUUCUCGUUACACGACAAUGAGCAAAGAGGGGCAGCUGUUGGACCAAUUUUCUUUGCCUAGCCCACUAAUCAAACCCAUUAACCACUAGCCCAAUCCUAUAACCCAAAAUAGCCCAAAACCAAAACAAAAUUCACCUCAAUAUCCCAAUCCCCACAUCGUACGUGCCUCCACCAUCCACCGCACCUCCGAGACGUGCACUACCAACAGUCCCUCUUUGUCACGCCUCGUGCUUCCGAGAUAUCCGCAACAACACCUAUAACAGGAAGCAAACAGAUAGCAACCAAUAGAAGAUUUUAUUUGUUUUUCUAGGCUAUAAAAGCCAUUUUAAACAAUGUAAAGGGGUCAAUUUUUGUUUACUACAAAAAAUCAGAGAGAAAUAUACGAAAACAGCAAGUUUUGAGUAAAAGCUUUCAUACAUUCGAAUAGAAUAAUGUGGUUACAAUCUUUUCUUUUAGUUUUUUUUAUCUUUAGAGCUUUUUGUGGAUCUAUCUUGCAUUUUUGAAAAACAGAGUUAAAAAAAAUAAAAAGAUUUUAGGAGGGCCUUACCUGGACUCCCGUGCGUGCUGCUGGCCACCAAAUCCAGUGGUGGAGCGACAGCGAUUGAAGGUUGUGAUAAUGGGCAUGGUUCAUGGCCCUAGCAAAAGAAAAAGGGUGAAAGUCCCUUUG
RNAcentral lists this long non-coding RNA (14580 nucleotides) under Gossypium barbadense (sea-island cotton). Its description in RNAcentral is "long non-coding RNA (GBAR_LNC001929)". Lineage: Eukaryota; Viridiplantae; Streptophyta; Magnoliopsida; Malvales; Malvaceae. The record is from RNAcentral.